Molecule: ribosomal RNA, 253 nt
Filed under: uncultured bacterium
Lineage: Bacteria
Description: partial 16S ribosomal RNA
Rfam family: Bacterial small subunit ribosomal RNA
Source: RNAcentral
UACGUAGGGACCGAGCGUUGUCCGGAUUCAUUGGGCGUAAAGAGCUCGUAGGCGGCCACUCAAGUCGAAUGUGAAACCUCGAGGCUCAACCUCGAGCCUGCAUUCGAUACUGGGCGGCUAGAGUCUGGUAGGGGGAUCUGGAAUUCCUGGUGUAGCGGUGGAAUGCGCAGAUAUCAGGAGGAACACCGGUGGCGAAGGCGGGAUCCUGGGCCAGUACUGACGCUGAGGAGCGAAAGCCAGGGGAGCAAACGGG